Molecule: long non-coding RNA, 455 nt
Filed under: Mustela putorius furo (domestic ferret)
Lineage: Eukaryota; Metazoa; Chordata; Mammalia; Carnivora; Mustelidae
Description: lncRNA (ENSMPUG00000028015.1)
Source: RNAcentral
CUCCCAAGGAGCAUGGAGGUGGGAAGACUAGGGGACUUUGGCAUGCUUGAAGGGGAACAGAAUUUUCAAAAUCUUGGAGGACCGCUUCUUAGAAUGUUUCUCUGAGGAACAUUCCACUUUGGCAAGACAACUGAGCCUGGCUGACAAGUUAUAAGUCAAUGGUUAAUUCUGUGUGAAAAUCUGGAGUCUUCUGGGCUGUCUACAUCCUAGAGGCACUUCUGAGAAGAAUCGAGCUGCUGGUGCUGGUGAGAGUGGUUAUGGCAAGAGAGAGGCCACUGUCUAUUUGUUGCUCGCCAAGAGCUCCCACAGAGCUUCCUGCACCUUCCACCAUGUGAGGACACAGCAAGAAGUCGGCAGUCUACAUUCUAGGAGGGAACUCUCACUUGAACCCAACCAUGCGGCACCAGAUGUUAAGUUUCCCAGCCUCCAGAACUAUGAAAAAUAAAUGUUGUGUA